ACAACAUGAGCGUGGUUGAUUUUAUUGGCCUUCAAACUGUGAUUGCAAUUCCAGGUCUUACACUCCUCAAUAGUCAUCUUAUCAAGCGUUAAAGAUGUAAUAAUAAUAAAAAAAAUAC
Molecule: long non-coding RNA, 118 nt
Organism: Thalassophryne amazonica
Lineage: Eukaryota; Metazoa; Chordata; Actinopteri; Batrachoidiformes; Batrachoididae
Exons: 2
Source: RefSeq, a predicted model, not a curated record